GAUGAAGAACGUAGCGAAAUGCGAUAAGUAGUGUGAAUUGCAGAAUUCCGUGAAUCAUCGAAUCUUUGAACGCACAUUGCGCCUUCUGGUAUUCCGGAAGGCAUGCCUGUUCGAGAGUCAUUAACAACCGUUUCGAUCCCUUUCUUUCAGAAAUUACAAAGAGGAAAAGGGUUUGGUUAUGGUGGAGGAGGGAAAGGGAGCGUUUAGCCUGUAAAAAAAGAGGCUGUGUUCCGCCUCCCCCCCAAAAUUGUACAGGCGGUCGUGUGCGCCCACGCAUCGAGGUGUUGUAAAAGCUGCCACGGCACUUUUCACCUGUGCAGUGCGAGAUUGGCCAGCCGGUUUAAAAACCCCUCCAAACAAUCAAAGGUUGACCUCGGAUCAGGUAGGGAUACCCGCUGAACUUAAGCAUAUCAUAAGCGGAGGA
Molecule: unclassified non-coding RNA, 424 nt
Filed under: soil metagenome
Description: partial contains 5.8S ribosomal RNA, internal transcribed spacer 2, and large subunit ribosomal RNA
Rfam family: 5.8S ribosomal RNA (bases 1-120)
Source: RNAcentral